GAUGAACGCUGGCGGCGUGCCUAAUACAUGCAAGUCGAGCGAACGGACGCGAAGCUUGCUUCUCUGAUGUUACCGGCGGACGGGUGAGUCACACGUGACUAACCUCCCUCUAAGACUGGGAUAACUUCGGGAAACCGGAGCUCAUACCGGAUAAUAUCUUGAACCGCAUGGCUCAAAAGUGAAAGACUGUCUUGCUGUCACUUAUAGAUGGUUUCGCGCUGCAUUAGCUAGUUGGUAAGGUAACGGCUUACCAAGGCAACGAUGCAUAGCCGAACGGCGAGGCGGAUCGGCCACACGGGAACUGAGACACGGUCCAUACUACUACGGGAGGCAGCAGUAGGGAAUCGUCCGCAGUAGGCGAAAGCCUGACGGAGCAACGCCGCGUGAGUGAUGAAGGUCUUCGGAGCGGAAAACUCUGUUAUUAGGUAAGAACAUAUGUGUGAGGAACUGUGCCCAUCUUGACGGUACCUAAACAGAAAGCCACGGCUAACUACGUG
This 497-nucleotide ribosomal RNA is filed under the name uncultured bacterium. Its description in RNAcentral is "partial 16S ribosomal RNA". It matches the Rfam family "Bacterial small subunit ribosomal RNA", at positions 28 to 507 of the family's 1533-position model. The record is from RNAcentral.